RNAcentral lists this ribosomal RNA (253 nucleotides) under uncultured bacterium. RNAcentral describes it as "partial 16S ribosomal RNA". It matches the Rfam family "Bacterial small subunit ribosomal RNA", at positions 524 to 776 of the family's 1533-position model. The record is from RNAcentral.
UACGGAGGGUGCAAGCGUUGUUCGGAAUUACUGGGCGUAAAGCGCGUGUAGGCGGUUAUUUAAGUUUGGUGUGAAAGCCCGAGGCUUAACUUCGGAAGUGCACUGAAUACUGAAUAGCUAGAGGACAAGAGAGGGAAGUGGAAUUCCUGGUGUAGGGGUGAAAUCCGUAGAUAUCAGGAGGAACAUCGGAGGCGAAGGCGACUUCCUGGCUUGUUUCUGACGCUCAGACGCGAAAGCAUGGGUAGCAAACAGG